Molecule: non-coding RNA, 268 nt
Organism: Hypomesus transpacificus
Lineage: Eukaryota; Metazoa; Chordata; Actinopteri; Osmeriformes; Osmeridae
Product: small Cajal body-specific RNA 6
Exons: 1
Source: RefSeq, a predicted model, not a curated record
GGUCGAUGAUGAGAUGUAAAAGGUCUGAUUGCCCAAGUCCCUUCCCAGCCCUUAAGCUCCCAGCAGCCUCUGUUCUCUACCCAGCAUGCUCUAGUUGUGCAGCGUUGAACUCAGGGGCUGCUGACAGACAUGAUGACCAUCAUAGUUUGUGUUUCUUAGAGUACAGUGAUUCACAGUCGUGAUGGAUAUCUGACACAACCAAUCACGAUGGAGUAUGGUGGCGUGGGAAUGGGAUAGGUAGAUGAUCUCGAGUUUUCAAGCUGAGACC